Molecule: long non-coding RNA, 1249 nt
Filed under: Vigna radiata
Lineage: Eukaryota; Viridiplantae; Streptophyta; Magnoliopsida; Fabales; Fabaceae
Description: long non-coding RNA (VRAD_LNC012558)
Source: RNAcentral
GAGGUGUGAAAAUGAAACAAGGGGUUGCAGGGAGGAAGAUUUUUUUUAAAGGCAGAAUGGGCUUAAGCCUAAACAGAAGGGGUGUCAAGAUGGGAAGUGGGGUGUGCUGGGAAGAAUUCUCCUGAGCCCCAACCAAGGGAAUGGACAUGGGGUGUGCAGGUAGAAACGGGCAUGGAACAGUUUUUUUUUUAAAAAGAAAGGAGUUGGAGCCCAACAAUUUGGCCCAAGUGCUUCAGCAGAAGAUUAAGGGUUCUGCCGCCCAUCUCAUUUCACCAUUUGCGCGUUCAGCAACUAAAAGACACAGGUCUCUUCCUCUCUGUAGAAAAACAGAAAAAUCCUAAGACACUCAAACGCCGACAGUCGUGCCGUCUUCACCUCCGUCCGAAUCUGCCACCACGCCGCUCAACCAGCAUUGGCGUCGCCGGCAACAUAACCCCUUUCGAGAGGGAGCAGCGAUUUCACAUCCUUCAUCGCUACGCGUACGCAGUCGUCAACCUACCCCGACUAGCCACUGUGGCAGAUCCCCUACUCCGUCCAAGGCGCCGCCGGCGACCAAACCACUGUAGCUGUCGCCAGCCUAGACGUGAAAUCCCUCUUUCCCCUUCCUCGCGCGAGAACAUGGAAGCGUCAUGCUUCUUCCCUUCAACCGACCACCACCGCGAGUCGCCGUCGUCGCGAGACGCCGUCGUCGCGAGACGCCGUCACAGAAACAACAACUCUUUGUCGGACUACCACUGUGCAACCACCGCGCCUCCGGAAGUCAACGCGAACUCUAGUCGCUGCAGCCACAACAAUCACCACACGAAAAUCCUCUUUUAUUCUCAUUACACUCUGUUCUACCACACACACUCAUUCUAAUUUAGGUUUGAAUCUCACCUUGAUGAGAUUUUACGUGUUCUUGUUGUUUUCCUUGUUUGGGCGUUUGCAGGUUACAGGCCAUGAAUCACUUGGUUUCAAGGAGGAUUUGGCAUAGAGUGUUGUUGUUGUAUAUCUUAGUUUUUGAUUGCUUGAAUGCUUUGCAGUGCGUUUUCUAGGCAUUUCUGGAUGUAAGUAAAGAGGUUAUUGGGGUCUUGCUGUUGGGGAUACAUGUCCAUGUUCCAUUCUCAAUUAAAUAUGAUAGAUUUUGCAGGCAUUGAAACUGCGUUUUGGGUGCAGUUUUGAUUGACAGAGGAUAUCACAAAGUAAGCGAACACAACCAUAUACACGCAUAUUUCAUUCAUAUGUAACAGAGGCAUGUUUCAUUCAUAUC